GACGAACGCUGGCGGCGUGCUUAACACAUGCAAGUCGAACGGGAAGGCCCUGCUUUUGGGGGGUGCUCGAGUUGCGAACGGGUGAGUAACACGUGAGUAACCAGCCCUUGACUUUGGGAUAACUUCAGGAAACUGGGGCUAAUACCGGAUAGGAGCUCCUGCUGCAUGGUGGGGGUUGGAAAGUUUCGGCGGUUGGGGAUGGACUCGCGGCGUAUCAGCUCGUUGGGGGGGUAGUGGCUGACCAAGGCUUUGACGGGUAGCCGGGCUGAUCGGGUGACCGGCCACAUCGGGAUUGGACUACGGCACAGCCCACUCCGCGAGGCAGCAGUGCGGAAUAUUACAUUAUGGGCUGAGGGAUGACGCAGUCCAGCCGCGCGGCGUGUGAGGGCAUUCGGUUUGUGUUGUGCUUUCGCCUGUGACGAAGUGUGAGUGACGGUAAUGGGUAAAGAAGCUCCGGCUAACUCCGUG
RNAcentral lists this ribosomal RNA (468 nucleotides) under uncultured bacterium. Its description in RNAcentral is "partial 16S ribosomal RNA". It matches the Rfam family "Bacterial small subunit ribosomal RNA", at positions 28 to 507 of the family's 1533-position model. The record is from RNAcentral.